RNAcentral lists this ribosomal RNA (709 nucleotides) under Globisporangium attrantheridium. RNAcentral describes it as "eukaryotic LSU rRNA". It matches the Rfam family "Eukaryotic large subunit ribosomal RNA", at positions 81 to 628 of the family's 3401-position model. The record is from RNAcentral. Lineage: Eukaryota; Oomycota; Peronosporomycetes; Pythiales; Pythiaceae.
UAGUAACGGCGAGUGAAGCGGGAUGAGCUCAAGCUUAAAAUCUCUGUGCCAGUUUGGCAUGGCGAAUUGUAGUCUAUAGAGGCGUUGUCAGUGCAGCUGUGCGGGGUAAGUUCCUUGGAAGAGGACAGCAUCGAGGGUGAUACUCCCGUUUGUACCUGUGCGGCUUGCGCGUACGACACGUUUUCUUCGAGUCGCGUUGUUUGGGACUGCAGCGCAAAGUAGGUGGUAAAUUCCAUCUAAAGCUAAAUAUUGGUGCGAGACCGAUAGCGAACAAGUACCGUGAGGGAAAGAUGAAAAGAACUUUGAAAAGAGAGUUAAAGAGUACCUGAAACUGCUGAAAGGGAAGCGAAUCGUAUCCAGUGUCUAUAAUCUGCGGCAUAUUUCAUUGGCGGCGGUGCGCGUGCUUUUGCGUCGGAAGCGGCUUUUGUUGCUCUGUGCUUUUGCUGUGCGUGGUGUUGCUGGUGCCCUGUGUUGCGGUGGGACGUCAGAGUCAGUUUGUAUGCUGCGGGAAAUGGCUGCCGAGGAGGUAGGUCGAGAUUUCGGUCUUGGCUGUUAUAUCUUGGUGGUUUGUUGUCGUGGUUGAGACUGAGGUGCCUACAAUGUGCUUUUGAGUGUGCCGGGUUCUCAUUUGGUGGACUGUUUGGAUAGCUUGCUAUGCUUGUGGUUUUUUCAUCGGGUGAUUGAGUCUGGUGGUAACUUAUUGCCGUUC